GCGAUUCUGAGCACUGACCUGCGCCCAGAUUGUCUGUAUGUCUAGAAAUCUCCUCCCUGUUUACAGAGAUGUUCCUCAAACCGUGGCAAGUUGUUGCUGCUGCCCUAAAGUAAUCAGUACAAGUCAUUUGUUGUAAGUACAUCAAUUUAACUACAGUGAACUUCAUUUGCUAUUACUGUGCUAUGUGUAUUUUAAGGGUUUUCUUUAACUAUUCCAUUCAUACAUUUCUGGGUUA
Molecule: long non-coding RNA, 235 nt
Filed under: Parus major (Great Tit)
Lineage: Eukaryota; Metazoa; Chordata; Aves; Passeriformes; Paridae
Description: lncRNA (ENSPMJG00000010668.1)
Source: RNAcentral